GGAGGGAUACCCAAGCGGCCAACGGGGGCAGACUGUAAAUCUGCUGUCUUACGACUUCGGUGGUUCGAAUCCACCUCCCUCCA
This 83-nucleotide transfer RNA is filed under the name Stenotrophomonas koreensis. It matches the Rfam family "tRNA". Rfam says of the family: Transfer RNA (tRNA) molecules are approximately 80 nucleotides in length. Lineage: Bacteria; Pseudomonadati; Pseudomonadota; Gammaproteobacteria; Lysobacterales; Lysobacteraceae. The record is from Rfam by way of RNAcentral.